AGAUAGAAAAAAAAAAGAGAAGAGAAAAGAAAGGGAAGUGAAAACAGACGCAAAAGCAGGGGAAUUGGGGAAAACAUGGAGAACUAGGGUUUGUGUGCAAGAAAAGGAAAAGGAAAAAGAGAGAAACGGGACAAAGAGAUAAACGAGAAUUGGGGACGGGGGUUGAGAAGAAUAGAAAACAGAAGGGAAAGGGGGUUAGGAAUGAUUUAGUCGGCGAUUGCAAGCGAUUGGCGGAGGUAAUCAACACUGAUUCUUGCUGCUUCCUUAAUUGAUAUAUUUGUGCCGAUGUGUAUGUAUAUUUCUUCUCUGCUUGUUGUGGAAAACUAAGAUUGGGAUGUUGUGUGUGCGGGUUUGGAAAGAGGUAUGCAGGGGUGCGCUACUAUUGUUCUCGUAGGUAGUUGCUGCCGUGUGUAUAUUAACGGAAUGUGUGUAUAUUGUUCGGUACUUGAAUAACAAGAGUAUAUGAUAGGAUAUGAAAGCUUUUGAAUUGAGAAUAUAUGUAUGAUUGUGAUGAUUGUGUAUAUAUUUUGGAUUUUAAGAGUUAAUGUAGUGGAUUAAAGAUUUUAAACUAUACGAAAUCAAGCUGAAAUUUCAGAUUGUUGCUGGUCUGUUUUGUAGUGAAAUUAUGGACUCAUUGAGUAAAUUUAUGUGCUUAAUAUUUCUGGGAUAAUGUGCUCCUUAAAUCCUAGAUCAAGUACAAACAAGAAUUUCAAAGUUUCGUUAAACGAGCUAAAAGAUAUGGCCGUUUAAGUGGCAUGUGUGUUAGAUGAUAUUUGUAUUGUGGUAAUGACUCUGUUUGGAGCCAUUUUCUGGGCAGUUUAUAAUGUGUUUGAUGAGUAAAUUCUUGUGUGAUUACAUGCUAAUUGGAGUCUAGUUUAUUCGCCAAAUUGAAACAUAGCAUUUAGAUUAAUGAGCUAGGAGUUAUGAUUAUUUUGGUAAAGUAUGCGCAGAAUGCAAAACUGCUUCGGUUUUUGACUUUCUAAACUAUAGUUAACUUACUUAAACUUUGAUUUUUAAGCCAAAACUUAUUUUGUAGCUAUUCAGGGAGUUCAGGGAGGUCUCCUAAAAAUUUCCAUUAAAAAUCAUGUAUUUUUGAUUUAUUAAAAAUGUUUGAUUGCCAGCAGCACAGAUUUAUGAAAAUUCUGUUUUAAAGUCAAAAAGAGAAUUAUUUUUGCAAAUUCAAAGCUAUGAGUUGAGUUCUGAUUUAUUGGAAUGUAAAUGUGUACUAUGGUUAUUGGUCAAUAGUUGUUAAUUUACUUGAUUCAAAUAUGUAUAUAUUCCGAGGAUAGAGUGUUCAAACUGCUUGAUAAGUUCUUUGGUGCCUAUGUGUAAUGUUUGAAAUGUAUUAAUUCAAGAAUUUAGAAUAUUUAUGGAUAAGUUUUGUGCAUAGUUAAGUAUUUUGAAACUAAUUUAUGAUAUAAGUUUUAUGCUGACCUUGUGUAAUAAAAUGAGAUUUUUACAUAAGGAAUUAUUUUACUAAACUUUGAUAUUGAGGAAACAUGUGUAUAGAUUAUAGUUGAACCACAUAAUAUGUUGGUGGCAGCUGAUUUUGUAAAAAGGUAACCUUGGGCAUACUAUGGUUUUGAUUUAAAUCUUAAUAUUGAUAUCGGUUCAUGAUGUGGGGAUUGAGCAACAAAAGCUUUAAGGUAAAAUGAUGGGCAUUGUCAUUUUUUUUUUGGAAAGUUAAUAUAUGAAUUAUUGAGUUAUAUUUGUGUUCAGAGUAUCAUUAGUUUGUAGUUGUUGGGUUAGAAACUUGUUGGGUUGAUUAUUGAUACUAGAUUAAAACAGGUGGAUAGUCUGGUAAAUAGAGGAGAUGCUGCCGAAAUUUUUUUAGCAAAUUAAGGAUGUACUAGUAAUGUGUUAGUGGUUUGUAUAUAAUCAGAUAAGAGAUUAUAUACGAGAAGAAUUCGAUAGUCAUAUAUGUAUAAGUAGCAAUGCAUAUGAAUUAUUUGAUACGUGAUGAUAUGACUACCUGUUUAAUUGUGCGACAAUAUGUGUAUAUACAGUAUGUGUCUAUAUCGCGAUGGGUAGAAAUAGAGUUCGAUUCUAUGAUUUAGGUGACGAUCUGGAUUGUUCUUCAACUGAAGUGUUAUUAUAUUAUCUUGUAGAACCGAGCUAGACGUGCGUAUCGAGGACGUUAAUAAGUAGUUGAAUUGCAAACCAAGUCGAAUCAGGAAUGAUCUGAUAAUACGAAGCUAUGUCGUGGGCGGAAUCUUGUCAAAAGCAAAGUGAGAAUAAACGGUAUAGUAAAUGCUCUACUAGGUGACAGGAAAAUAGGUUCUUUGAACAAGAAGGAAAGCGAAUAAGGCAAGUAACUUUCCUUUUUCUUUUAAGCAACUUAUUGAUAAAUGAUGAUAAGUACUGUCACCCUUGAACUACUUUUUGAAUUAUGAAAGCCUGAUUUCCUUUCUCAUUGAAUAUAUUGUCUUACUUUUGAAUGCGAGCUCUUUCAUGAAGAUUAUGCUUCUCUAUCCAGUAUACUCUUAUCCCGAAUAUCUAUCUUUUGACUGAAUAAUAUUUCCUUUCCAUAUACUGGACCCCCACAAGUAAAUGGAACUUGUUUCUGUAAAUGAAACUAAGAAUGGUUUUAGACUUGCAAGUGAUUGCAAGUGUCCAAAUGAUUUGAAAGGUUGGUAAGUUUUUAAAAUGAAAGAUAUUUUUAAAGAAGAAAGUUUUCCAAUUUAAUGGUUUUCCACGAAAUUCUAUUGAUUGGAGGCGUAAGUGGCCGAGUAACGCCGGUCCAGCUAUUUGAUUAUGAAGACCAGUGAGGGCUGGCACAUUAUGAAGACCAGUGAGGGCUGGCAUUUGAAAGGCCAAAUGAUAGUUGCCUUUCGGGUACCCUAUUCACGUCCAGAGGGGCUGUAAAGUCCGGUAUGGGGAUUGUACGUGGCUGAUCACCCGUGCAAUCCAGAGCGUUAUACACUCCAAUCGAGUAAAAUGUUUUAGGAAAAUAAAUGUCCAUGUAAUUGGACUAUUUUGAAAAUGAGGUGAUUUUCGAGAUUGAAAAUGAAGCUUAAAUGAAUGAAGCGUUUUGAAAGAAAAUAUUAGGAAAAUGGAAAUUUUAUGAAAAUUACGAGGAAUGAAUGGUUUUUAUGAACAUAUGGUUUAUAAAUUGGUUUCUUUGGAAUGAUCCUUAAUUUUGGAAUCUUUGUUGAAAAUUUUGUAUCUUUGCUUACAAUCGGAAACCUCCUAUUUUAUUCAGUUGAACCGUUGUCUUAUUUAUUUACUCUAGUUACUUGCUGAGCUUUUGUAGCUCAUUCUGUUGUUUAUCUAACCCUUUCAGCUAGAUACAAAGAUGGUUCGCCUGUUUGGGUUGCGCUUAAGAAUAACGCUAGACAAGGAUUUCAAGUGAGUAUGUCAGACCUCGAUGGUCAGGAUAAGUAUUUUGGAAGAUGUCAAGGGAACUAGUUGUGAUUAAGAUGGUAUAAUUUUGAUUCAGAUGUAAAGCAGAUUUAAGUUUUGGUUAUCAGUUAUCCUUCUUGUCGAAGUUUAUCUGGUAAUGUAGAAUAUGUUGUAAUAAGAUUUAUAUUUUCGAUUUUCUGAUUUCAAUACUAUAGCCUGUAUGCGAUCCUGUUUUCAGGGGGUGAAAUUGAAUUUUACUUUAAAUCAUUUUCAAAAUAUCCAAGUUUCGAAAUAAUUGUUUUUAGCUUCUUUCAAAAAUACAGGUUUUAAAUUGUUUUUCUUUUAGUGGCACCAAAUCCAGACCCCCGGGAUUUGAGGGAUGCCACA
RNAcentral lists this long non-coding RNA (3729 nucleotides) under Daucus carota (carrot). RNAcentral's name for it is "long non-coding RNA (DCAR_LNC005450)". Lineage: Eukaryota; Viridiplantae; Streptophyta; Magnoliopsida; Apiales; Apiaceae. The record is from RNAcentral.